Molecule: small RNA, 125 nt
Filed under: Marmota monax (woodchuck)
Lineage: Eukaryota; Metazoa; Chordata; Mammalia; Rodentia; Sciuridae
Source: RNAcentral
GCCAGGCAUGGUGGCGCAUGCCUGUAAUCCCAGUGGCUCCGGAGGCUGAGGCAGGAGGAUCACGAGUUCAAAGCCAGCCUCAGCAAAAGUGAGGUGCUAAGCAACUCAGUGAGACUCUGUCUCUA